CAUUUUCUGAUAGUCAGAUAUAUUUAUUAUGCAAUUCCUUUUGCACUCUAAUUUAUAUUGAGGUAAGAUUUUAAAGAUUUUAUUGAAGUCAAAAUAUAUUUAAAGCCAUAUUGAAUUUGGGAUUAAAAGUCCUGUCAAUAUUUUUAUUUCACUAUGUUAUAUAUGCUAGUGCACAGUAAAUUAAAGAAACUGAAAUUGAUUCAAUGAAUUAAAUAAGCAUAUUAGUUUUUGUUGUCUAGUUCUUAUCUCUGAUACAAUAGCAGUAAGUCCCCCCUUUUGUUGGAAACAUUUGGUUGAUUAUAUAGGGAAUCGCUGAAGCAUGAUUGGAGAGGGCAUCCCUUAGGUCAGUCAGUGGGCCCCCUAACAAAAAGUUCUGAAUCUGCCAGUGCCUCUAUUAAAUAAAAAUUAACUGUCUUAGCAGGUAACAUCUUCUUAUCCUGCUAGAUAUAACCUUAUGUAAAAUGAAAUAUAAUACAAGGUCACCUCUCACAAGAGGUUAGUUUUCUCAGGACCUGGUGGUGAACUUUAUAUAAUGGUCUGACGGUAUGCUUAACUACCAUAACAUAUGGUCUGCUGUAUAAGAACCUCAAAAGGAUUACAGGUAUAGAAAAUUUUAAUUAUGUAUCAUAUUAUCAAAUUUCUCACUUCUAGCAAUUCAGUGUUGAAAGUGCUACACAUGCAUUUAUUUUUCACAAAUUUUUCAUAGUUCAGUGUCACGCUCUCUUCACGUUGAACCCUUGCAACUUAAUUGUUGGAGGGGUCUGUUGGUGGCCUGUUGCAAGGCCCAAUUUCUGACCCUUUCAAAUAGACUGUUGGUCUAAAUUUUACCUGACCUUAAUCUUUUAUUGUCAAUUUGUGUUCUCGUCCUGAACAUGCUUGAAAUAUUUGCCACUGGACAUUUAUCAAGCAGCAUUCAAUCAAUCAAUCAUUGGUUAAUUUUAUAUAAAUUUUGCUGAUGAAAACAAUAAAGAAGCACUGAACUGUUAUUGAUCUUGUGUUAACAUUAAAAUAAAUUUUCUUAUAAAACUAUUUCUUAAACCUGCCUCAUUAACCCUGGACAUUUUUAUUACUUGUCUUUUCAGAUUAAAACAACUUUGAUGAAUACAGACAUUAAAAGAAAAUUGAUGGAUCAUUUGGGAGUUUAAGAAGAAUUACCAGCUUUAUUGAUUGGAUUAUAUAGUUUAAUAGGUAUCUAUAAAAUUUACAGUUUGGAAUAAAAGCUAAUUUACCAGCUUGAAAAUAUACAUGACUAAUUUUAUCAUGGGAAAAUUUAAUUGAUUGAAUUUCUAGCUAUUUCAUUGAUCUUAACUUUUACUAUGCAGAUCAAUUAAGCUUAUAUAUUGCUUAAAGUACAAAUAUAUUAAAUUAUUUAUUAGCUAUUACAAAACACGAACAUUUUACUGAAAAUAAGUAAAAAGUCUUAAUAAUUAUAUAAUCAAUGGCAAACACAUGACAAAAAUAUGCAAAAAAACAUAAAAACAUCAAAAAUAAAUGUUGUAUUACUGGCUAUGUAGUAUGUACAUUUGUAUCUGUUAUGAGAUUUUUGAGAUACCAUAAAGGGUUUACUAAAAUGUUUUAUCAUAAAUAUGCUUGAAAUAUUUUCCACUGGACAUUAAACACAAAACAGUCAAUGAUCAUAUAUCUUUUCAUAUGACACUAGAAUUAUUACUCAGUGAUAGGCAGAUUAACCCAUUUAUUCAUAAAAUUUAUAAUGGAAACAACCCGACCAAAGAGCAGAAAACAGUCUGAAGGUCACCAAUGAAUCCUCAACACAGGAAGAAAAUCCAGCAUGCAAAUAUUUCAUUACAUAUCCUAAUAAAUAAAAAUGCAUCUUGAAAUUUAUGAUAUAUUGAAUCGUAAUUGAACAAUAAUAUUAAUGUGAAAUUUUAUUAAGUUAUUUGUUCGUCAUGAAAGCUAGACUGUACAUCAGACCAUUUUCCAAUUGACAAUCAUUAGAAGAAUUAAUAGAACUUAAUUGAAUAUAUUGUGAUUGAAGUAAUAGAAUUGUUUGAUGGUUUUCAGUGCUGUAGGUUAGCAUGGGGUCACAUUUAUAUAUAUUCAGAAAUCAAUAAAACUGGACAUACACUUUUAUAUAAUAGGGAUAUCGGUCAUAAAAUUCUUAAUGUUUAUUCUGUGUUAUCUUAUUUUACUUAUUAGCACAGAUUUAAUGUGUUGAAGACAAUGGUAUCAUAUGACUGGAUGUUUUGAUUAUAACAGUUUAAGUCGUGUGUAAAAACUCGUUUGACAGUUUUCAAGGUAUGUGUUUUUAUUCCACACAAUUUCAGUUAAAUCCAUUAAAUUUCAUGAUGUUUCAGGAUAUUUUCAAUCUAGACAUUUUGUUGAGGCAAACUUUUUGGCGCCUUGAAUAUGAAAAUUUAUAAAGUGUAGUAUAUAUACCAUAUGACAUCCUGAAGAUAGCGUUUUGCACCAAUCUGCAUUUCAUUUGCUCAGAUUUUUUCUUACACUUGCACCCAUUUUUUCUUUCAUUUGGGCUGAUUGUGUUCAGGUAAAUAACAGGUGAAUGCUAUUUCUUAUUUAUAAAAAAAACCUCUUCUGUUAGUCAGUUGUACACAUAUAUGAAUUGUCAAUUAUCACUUUCCUCCAUAAUGACGCCUUUAGACGCCUGUGUAGUGCCUCAGUUGAAAAAUCUUGCCUACGAUAAAUCUGUAUGCCUAAGUGUUUUUUAAAAUCGUGCUGUGAUCGUUUAUUUUGUAGAAUUUAAUCACCUUUCCAGUUUAGGGGUUUCCCUAAACGAUUAAUACAACUUUUAAAUUCAGUUGUUUAAUUGAUGCAUUCGUGGUAUUGUUAUUCUAUAGAAGAAAAGUAUCUAACCGACGCAAGGCGGCUCCAUCUUGGGCUGUGGGUAACUUAAGUUACCCACAGCCGUUUAAGCACAGUGAAAAUAAAUUAAAUAUGUCACAGAUAUGAAAUUUAUAUGACAAUCAUUUGAAUGAUUUAUACUUUGAAGUCUUGUCAUUAAAUAUAUUUAAAAUGUUGUUAUAAUGUCAUGUAUAUCACAAAAAGGUGUAAAGGCGAAAUCACAAAAUUAUGAAAAACGCAAAAACAGGAAAUCGCGAAGACACAAAAUCACAAGAAAACACUACAACGAAAGGAAAAAUAUAUCUUGUUUUUGCCAUUUGGACAUUGCGAAUUUGUGUUUUUUUAGUUUUCGUCCUAUAGAAUAUGAUGGCUGAAAAUAUGAAAACGUGAAAUGGCCUUAACCGGCCACCAUACAAAUAAGCAGUUUUCAACAUUUUUUUUCGCCAUUCUUUGAGAUACUGAUUUGAUAAUUGGUUUAUAGAUUAUCACGAAAAGUUACAGACAAAUUUAAAUUUUGUUUUGAUCUGAUGAUUUUGUGCAGAGUUAUGGUCCUUUUACUAAGAAAAUUCACUGAAAAUUCAGUUUUCCACACUUUUUUGUCAUGCUUGAAGAUAUUGAUCUGAUAAUUGAUAUAUAGUUUUAUCAGGAAAGAUAUUGAUAAUUGGUAUAUAGUUUUAUCAGGAAAAGAAACAGACCAAUUUCAAAAUUUUGUUUAACUCUGACGAUUUUAUGCAGAGUUAUGGUCUCUGGAUUAGAAUGAUAUUGACUUGAUCAAGCUAGCAUUUUGUUCCAGUACAAUGACUUUUUAACUGGUAGAGGACUAUGUAUUGCCAUGCAACACAACAUCUUAGAAUGUUUUUUUUUUCAAAUUGACAACAUCAAUCUUUGAAUUAUCAACCUUAAUCUCUGAAUUUCCAACUUUAAAAUUAAAAUUAUCAACUUUAAUCUUGGAAUUAUUAACUUUAAUAAUGGAAUUAUCAACUAUAAUCUUUGAAUAAUCAAAAUUAAACUGGAAAUUCUGAAGAGUAAUUCCAUAAGGUUGGGUAUAAAUAUACAAGGAAAAAUUCAAAAUUCAAAUGUUAAGCUUAGAUAUAAGUUUUAUAUAGGCUUGUAUGCAGUUUUUAUGAAAUUAAAAGAUCCUCCAAAAUACAACUUUUCCUACAAUAGACCACUUUCGAGUUAGUCCACCACCGUAAAAAACUCGUCAAUUAUGCGUGCCUUUAUGACUUCAUUUACCAGAUAGAAGGGGUCACCUGUAUCCCUGCACCAUUUACGUUCAUAAAGUGUCUUAGUGAACGUCAUUGUGCAGGAUAAACUAGAAAUAAUGUUUGUCUGGUAGGUACUUAAUCACAAUUACCUAAUGGCUGAUUGUCAAUUAUGAGAAUUCAGUUUGACGAAUAAUUCGUGCAAUAUAGAAUCAUAGUUUUCCAGCCAAUUGCUCAACAUGGGAGCAUAAGUGGCGACGCCCCUAAACGCUCAAAUGAUGUUCACUAAAACCAGAGUUUUUGACGGAAAUGCAUCAAACUCAAACGUUGUCUAUUGGCUAAUAAUUGGUAUUCAGAAAAAUAAUUGAAUCCACAACUACUGUCCAUUUGAGAAAUGCAUAUAUGGUUCAAUGUCCUAGAAACGAAUCUUUUUGAAAGUAAAACAAGAAAUUGUUUGAAAACUUGUAUGGCAUUUAAAUACAUGACCUGUAGAUGGCACUUUGAAAAUGGGGUACAACCUGUACAAUUUAUACAUUUCAGUUAUUUGUUGAUCAGCUUCAUAAUUAUUUAGAAAGAUAUAUGAUGAAGUGUGUCAAAUUGUUUUCUUGAUUCUAAUGUAUGAAUUGUAGACCCUUGUAACAUGUGUAACAUGUUGAUGAAUAUGCGGACAACUCUUAAUGUAAACUUUAUUUGAAAAGGAUAAUAUUUGAAGAAGAAAAAAAAAAAUAAUAUGUGAUAUGUUAUAUUUUUUAUUUUAGAAAAAGAAAGUAAAGUUGAAAGAACUUCAUUUUAUCAAAGCCAGAACAGGAGUUACAUCAAACAAGAAAGCAUCAGGUUUAUAAAAAUAUGAUUCUUAAACAAUACAGUUCAGUUGUAAAAAAAAAACCAAUAAAAGGAUUCUGUGCACACAAGACACAUUUCACUCCAUCCAAAUGUUUGGAAAGCCAAAAAAAAAAAAAAGAAUUGAAAGAACAUGAAGAAAGAAAGAAAGUUUAAUGGCUACUAUAAAAAAAUGACAAUACAGGGACAAUAUAAAAUCCCAAGUUGAAGACACCAACAACAGCAUGGCAAAAAAUGAAAAGGCAAAAAAUAAAAAAACACUCUAAAGAAAACUACUGACUUCAGCAACACAGAUGAUUAUAUCUUACAGUAUAAAUAAGUAUUACUAAUCAAGGACAAUAGACAGGAAAAAGUGGCAAUUAGGCAUGUUGUUGCAGUAAUGUAGCAUUUUAAUUUUAAUAUUUGCGUUUAAGUAUGAAAAUAAAAUAAAGGCAAGACAUUUAUCUGUGUCAACAAUUUGGUUUUCUCUCUGUAUCCACAGAGAAAUCUGAAAGAAGCAGCAAUUUACUAAUGUUUAAAUAAAUUUCCAAUAUUUUGACUUUGAACACUGAUUUAUAAAACAAAUGUAAAAAUAAUGACCACAUCCUAAUAUUUAACGACAGAACUGUCAGAUUAGCAGGUCUCACAAUAAAAGACAACGCAAAAGACUUUCUAAAAUGUCACAAGUAGAUAUUUGUCAAUAAUUAGAACACAUGGGGUUAAGAUUUCAUCUUUUAUCUGAUUUUUAUGAGAUUUCCAUACAUAGUUAUAAGUUGCUGGUAGGCUGUUGAACUGGUGCCAAAGAGCCUGCUUAUGACCAGCAAGAAUACAGUCAAGGAAUAUGUGCGCAUUAUAGUAAUAUGGUUGUCCAGUUCUGCGAAGAAUUUUGAAAUGGG
RNAcentral lists this long non-coding RNA (5740 nucleotides) under Mytilus galloprovincialis (Mediterranean mussel). The record is from RNAcentral. Lineage: Eukaryota; Metazoa; Mollusca; Bivalvia; Mytilida; Mytilidae.